Molecule: transfer RNA, 78 nt
Filed under: Paramuricea clavata
Lineage: Eukaryota; Metazoa; Cnidaria; Anthozoa; Malacalcyonacea; Plexauridae
Description: tRNA-Thr
Rfam family: tRNA (bases 4-72)
About the family: Transfer RNA (tRNA) molecules are approximately 80 nucleotides in length. Their secondary structure includes four short double-helical elements and three loops (D, anti-codon, and T loops).
Source: RNAcentral
CCGCGCGUAGAUCAGUUGGCAGAGCAUUGGGCUAGUAUUCCAAAGGUCCGCGUGGGUUCGAUUCCCACCGUGGCCGGG